RNAcentral lists this ribosomal RNA (221 nucleotides) under uncultured Rikenellaceae bacterium. RNAcentral's name for it is "partial 16S ribosomal RNA". It matches the Rfam family "Bacterial small subunit ribosomal RNA", at positions 1163 to 1382 of the family's 1533-position model. The record is from RNAcentral. Lineage: Bacteria; Pseudomonadati; Bacteroidota; Bacteroidia; Bacteroidales; Rikenellaceae.
UGCGAGGAAGGUGGGGAUGACGUCAAAUCAGCACGGCCCUUACGUCCAGGGCUACACACGUGUUACAAUGGCCGGUACAGAGGGCAGCCACCCCGCGAGGGGGCGCGAAAUCCCGAAAGCCGGUCCCAGUUCGGAUCGGAGUCUGCAACCCGACUCCGUGAAGCUGGAUUCGCUAGUAAUCGCGCAUCAGCCACGGCGCGGUGAAUACGUUCCCGGGCCUU